GCUGCAGACGAGCAGUGCGCCGCAAACAUGCACCCUCUCCAAAGAGGAAAAGACAGGAAGAGCGAGCACCAUGAGCGGAUUUCACAGCUGAAAUCUCUUCACGGUGAACACACUGACAACUACAUGUGUGACAAACUCUGGUAGAAAAGGAAAAAAAGGAAGCGAAAAGAGAAAAGAGCGGAAUGUUGGCUGAGAAGCAAACCGGGAAGGGAAGGAGGACGACGCUGUGAGAACGGAUCUUUCCUGCGAGGCUUCAAACCACCUCAGCGCUCCACGGGAGGAGAGGGACGGGAAGAACCGAAGCAGAGGAGGGGGGUAAAAAUGCUCAAAGUUUGGCCGUGUCGUGGACAACAGCUGCAGAAAAUGAGCAUCAUUUAAACGAAGAAUGCAUGUCGUUUGGGAUAUAUGUGUGAUUCUGCAAACAUACAUCAUCUGCACUUCAUCAGGUAAGGAGGCAAAGGGAACUCUCAUCUCUCAGAACAUCACAACAAAUAUCAGGGAAAAUCGGAAAUACACCAAGAAAAUGUAGCUAAUGGAAAUGUCCCAGUAGAAUGAAGAUAGAAGCUGCAGAUCUGUUGUAUAAUUAUUCUGAUGACUUCCAUUGUUUCAUUGAGGAUGCUGAUCAUCCUAAGAUUUAUACUGAGGAUGCUCAGUCAGAUGAAUCACUGCCUACUCAUUUGUGUGUUCUUUACAGUAUUUAUGAGUCAACACGCUCUUUGGGUCCGUGUAUAUUUUGCCAAUUGGAUUUUCCGUUCUGAAACGGGUAUUGAAAAACAAAAAACAAGCGCACAGCAAAAAUUGGAGUGAUGAAAUUUCAGGGUUAAACAUAUCAGAGUUGAUUUCAACUCUCAAAGUGUUUUUUUUUAACACAUUCUGAUUCAAAUGGUGUUCAGUGUUGGAGUUAUUUAACAGAGUUAGCCAAGCCCAAAAGUUAAGGCCCCUGGGCUUCAGCCCUGUAAACCCCGUGCGUCAAUUAAUCGUCUGCUCAGCUGUGUGUCUUCCAUGUUCUGCGGCUGCUGCUGGUUUUACAGACGGAUCAGUUUUGGGAAGAGUUUUAUACAGACGGUAAGUUAAGUAAAUCAAAAUUAUGGGAACAGUAAUAUUAAAUGAAACGCAGUAUUUAAAAUGAAAAAUCUACGGAGAAUUAUGCUACUUUUCUAAGCUUUUGUGUUGCUGGUACUGAAGUUCGGUAACUGAACAGUUAAUGCUAAUGUGUUUAACAUUAACAUUAGCUAGUUUUUAAAUUUUUUUUAUUUUAGCUAACAGUCAGACAUUAACACGCGGUUUCCUGCGUUUUUCAUUGCAAUUUACCAAGUCUCAUAUAUGUCUGAAGUCGUGUAAAACAAAUUAGUUAGCAAAGUUAAUGUUAGUUAUUGUGUGUUGUUUUGGACUUAACAGCAUGGGCAGCCACAACUCAAGUUACUCAAGUAUAAUUGCAUUUUAUAAAGCAACCUAGCUUUACUCAAUCACUACACCACUUUGCAGAGGUAAAUAAAUAUUGUAGUAACUAAUUAUAAUCCACCUCUGGUAAGUCAAAUAGUGCUGCUCUUCAGCUUCAGAGUGAGUCGUCAGCUGGUAAACUUCGAGUGAAGGAGGUAAGUCUGAAUAGUCAUGUUAGCAGUGUUAGCAUGCCCGCUCGCUCUUUCUUUCAGAUUAUUUCCUGCUCUUUUACGGAAGGCUCACCUGAACAUUUAGCAGACUUAGUGUUUACACCAUUGACUGCCUUGACUGCUACAUGGUUCACACAUACAGCCUCAUUCUGGAAUCCACUGCAUGUGUGUCAAAAGCUUCAAUACUGUUUACAGUGUAUAGCAUGGCCGAUACUGGCUUACUGUGUUUAUAUGAGUGUUUUUAAUAAUUUUAGCUUGAAUCGCUUCAGUUGUUUACUAUCAAAUGCUUAUUACUCUCAUUUUCAUUUUUUUUUUUUUUUUUUGUAUGUCUCAGCAAAAUGCUGGUCCAGGUUCGGUACUGCCAACAGCAGAAGUAUGUGAAGGUGGAUGAUGUCGAUGGACAGUUGGAUUUCAUGCGGUUCCAUGAAAAAGAGUUUUCUGAUUGCACCUUGUCCUCUCCAUCUGAGUGGUCUGACUCGAGCUUCAGUUCAAGUGCAAGUGCAUCAACUAUACUUCUAGAUGAGGUCCCUAGGAAGAAAUCAAGAAUUGAAGGCACAAUUAAUGCAGCGUCUGCUAAAAAGUUGAUCGAAGCUGUACUUGGAACCAGUUCAGGUGGUGAAGAGAAAGAUUCGACGAGGAUCUGCACCUCCAAAUAGCUGCACUGGCUUUUCUCGAGGAGGAGGGGGCCCUAAUUUCCAAAGAUCCAUUGUUGUUGAGAAGCAGCUUGACGGAGAUGCUUGCCAGGAGGCCAUCUCUUUGCUCAACCAUACAACAGACACUUCCUUAAUUCUCCAAAAGAUGAGAGAGACCUUUCAGUAUCAUCAGAACCUUAUCAAUGACCCUGACAAAAGUCUUGAUAUCCUGUCCAUCUUCCCAAGAUUCCUGGAUACAAAAGGAUUGGUGAAUCAAGACUUCACUCUCCUGUUUGAUGAUGAGGUAUCCACCAGGCUGCUUCAGAAAUGGGAUCCGGUCUUCAGUUGUAACGUCAUCAAAGAGGCCAAGCAGCUCACCUCAACACCAGAGCUGCAUCAGUUGGUGCAGUCAGCAGAGAUUCCACCAGGAAGUGAUGAGGCAACAUAUGAGUUUUGCUCUAUAGAAUUUGCUAU
Molecule: long non-coding RNA, 2716 nt
Organism: Amphiprion ocellaris (clown anemonefish)
Lineage: Eukaryota; Metazoa; Chordata; Actinopteri; Pomacentridae
Exons: 5
Source: RefSeq, a predicted model, not a curated record